RNAcentral lists this long non-coding RNA (844 nucleotides) under Physcomitrium patens. Its description in RNAcentral is "long non-coding RNA (PPAT_LNC003754)". Lineage: Eukaryota; Viridiplantae; Streptophyta; Bryopsida; Funariales; Funariaceae. The record is from RNAcentral.
UCUAUUGUAGGAAUUACUAGGGUUUGGUUGGAGAUUGGUUUAGGAUUAGGAUUUGGUUUAGGAUUUGGUUAGGAUUUGGUUUAGGAUUUAGCAUUUGGUUAGGAUUUCAUUCAAGGUUUAGGAUUUGAUUAUGAUUUUAUUUAGGAUUUAGGAUUUAUUUAGGAUUUUAUUUAGGGUUUAGGAUUUGAUUAGGAUUUUAUUUAGGGUUUAAGAUUUGGUUAGGAUUUUAUUUAGGAUUUAGGAUUUGAUUUAGGAUUUGAUUUAGGAUUUGGUUAGGAUUUGAUUUAGGAUUUAGGAUUUAGUUAGGAUUUGGUUAGGAUUUGAUUUAGGAUUUAUGAUUUGAUUUAGGAUUUAAUUAGGAUUUGAUUAAGGGUUUAGAAUUUGAUUUAGAAUUUGGUUGGAAUUUGGUUUAAGGUUUUUUUAGGAUUUGGUUUAUGGUUUAGAGUUUGAUUUAGGAUUUAGGAUUUUAUUAGGAUUUAAGAUUUAAUUAUUUUUGGUCUAAAGUUUGAAUGAAGUUCAAUAGGAUUUUAACUAUAAUUAAAUUAAGAUUGAAUUGAGAUGUAUUUGAGUGAUAUUUGUGAUCAUUCUAAUAUUUCUUUAAGAUUUUUUAUUGUUUUUUUGAAAUUUCUUUGAGUUUUGUUGAAUUUGAUUAAAGCUUGGUUAGCAUUAUUAUGGUCUAAUUAGAACAUUGUUAGUAUUCUAUUAGAACUAGGAUUUUGUUUUUGCAAAUUCCAUUCUUUCUUCCACAGCCAGGUGCCCGGAGCAUUCUCAAGCAAGUCUUCAUGUAUUACGACAUCAUCCUUAGAAGUGGAGGUAAUAUCAUAGAUAUACACAUGUAAGCUAG